RNAcentral lists this ribosomal RNA (28 nucleotides) under Orbilia oligospora. RNAcentral's name for it is "partial 28S ribosomal RNA". Lineage: Eukaryota; Fungi; Ascomycota; Orbiliomycetes; Orbiliales; Orbiliaceae. The record is from RNAcentral.
GAACAAAACCUACCCAUUUUUCAAGGUU